UAUUAUUACUCUUGAAUUUAUGGCAUCAAACCAGCUAACCUCAAACAUUUGGGUCGGAGCUUUACCGAGAGGGCGAUAAGACACAGAGGACGUGCCUCCUCGAAGAUUUGCACACCGAGACUGGUAUUUUCGUUUAAAGUGUGUCCAAAUCUCUCUCCUCUUUCUGAAGGCUUUGCUCCUCCUCCUUCGCGAUCCUGCACGGUAGUAUUUCUUCCUCCUCCUUCGCAAGCCACAACUCGGAUCUGCUUCCCUUAUUAGUUAUUCCAGCUCUCUUCCUUUUCUACAUGUCCAGGUUUCCCCAGAAACUCAUCAUGCCUUGGAAAACAAUGAGACAGAGACAGAAGAAUCAAACCAUUCCACCAUCCUAGAAAUCCCAACACCCAAAACCCCAAGCUUUCAGGCUCUCUCUUUGUGAAGGUCUCUUUGUGAAGGUGGCUUAUAAUUCUUAUUCUUCAAUGUUCUGUUUAACAGCGAAGAGAGAGAAAUUCCAGAUGAGUCUGACCGUUUUAUGAUGGAGCCUGUCAGUUUGGUAUCAAAACUUGCAAAAAGUUGGUCGAUACCUAGUCAUGUUGGCUGUUUGGUUCCGAAAAAAGAUUAUUGAGGGAUUUUCUAACCUCACAUUCUUUCAUAGAGGCAAAUGAGGGAAUGGUCUUUAUCUUCUGUUCUUAUUACUCUCACUGUUGCGUUUGGCACUAAUCUUUUGUUUUCUUUGCUAAACCUAGAAUGUAAUGACAGAUAAGAAGGUUUUUCCACUCUCACUUCAAAGUAAACCGCGAGCUUCAAGCAUCAGUUGUUGCAUAUCUUUGGACAGGCCAUUGACAUUCGUCUUCAGUGCAACCAAUCUUUGUAAUCUAAUCCCUUUUACAUUGAUUUCUCCCCCCCCCCCUGUCUCUCCCUUGUGAAUAUCAUGUUUGAAACUAAAAUCUUGGUAUUGAUUAUGUCAGAAACAACCCUUCUAGUAGUGCUACACUUGGCGUGACUAGUUUUAAUGGUCCCUUGUUAAUGUUCUGGCUGAAAUACUAAAAUGAUUACUGCUUUUUAGUACC
Carya illinoinensis is the source of this 1046-nucleotide long non-coding RNA. RefSeq lists it as uncharacterized. The record is from RefSeq and is a predicted model, not a curated record. The transcript is spliced from 2 exons. NCBI's taxonomy places the organism in Eukaryota, Viridiplantae, Streptophyta, Magnoliopsida, Fagales, Juglandaceae.